GAAUUCGCCCUUAGAGUUUGAUCCUGGCUCAGGACGAACGCUGGCGGCGUGCCUAACACAUGCAAGUCGAACGGAACUUCUUUAAUUGAUUUCUUCGGAAUGAUUUUGAUUAAGUUUAGUGGCGGACGGGUGAGUAACGCGUGAGUAACCUGCCUCUAAGAGGGGAAUAACAUUCUGAAAAGAAUGCUAAUACCGCAUAAUAUAUAUUUAUCGCAUGGUAGAUAUAUCAAAGAUUUAUCGCUUAGAGAUGGACUCGCGUCCGAUUAGUUAGUUGGUGAGGUAACGGCUCACCAAGACCGCGAUCGGUAGCCGGACUGAGAGGUUGAACGGCCACAUUGGGACUGAGACACGGCCCAGACUCCUACGGGAGGCAGCAGUGGGGGAUAUUGCGCAAUGGGGGAAACCCUGACGCAGCAACGCCGCGUGAAGGAUGAAGGUCUUCGGAUUGUAAACUUCUUUUAUUAAGGACGAAGAAAGUGACGGUACUUAAUGAAUAAGCUCCGGCUAACUACGUGCCAGCAGCCGCGGUAAUACGUAGGGAGCAAGCGUUGUCCGGAUUUACUGGGUGUAAAGGGUGCGUAGGCGGCUUUGCAAGUCAGAUGUGAAAUCUAUGGGCUCAACCCAUAGCCUGCAUUUGAAACUGCAGAGCUUGAGUGAAGUAGAGGCAGGCGGAAUUCCCCGUGUAGCGGUGAAAUGCGUAGAGAUGGGGAGGAACACCAGUGGCGAAGGCGGCCUGCUGGGCUUUAACUGACGCUGAGGCACGAAAGCGUGGGUAGCAAACAGGAUUAGAUACCCUGGUAGUCCACGCUGUAAACGAUGA
This 820-nucleotide ribosomal RNA is filed under the name uncultured bacterium. RNAcentral describes it as "bacterial SSU rRNA". It matches the Rfam family "Bacterial small subunit ribosomal RNA", at positions 1 to 812 of the family's 1533-position model. The record is from RNAcentral.